Molecule: ribosomal RNA, 465 nt
Filed under: uncultured bacterium
Lineage: Bacteria
Description: partial 16S ribosomal RNA
Rfam family: Bacterial small subunit ribosomal RNA
Source: RNAcentral
CCUACGGGAGGCAGCAGUGGGGAAUAUUGCGCAAUGGGCGACAGCCUGACGCCGCGACGCCGCGUGAGGGAUGAAGGUCUUCGGAUCGUACACCUCUGUCAGCAGGGAAGAACGGUCACUGUGCUAAUCAGCAGUGAAUUGACGGUACCUGCAAAGGAAGCACCGGCUAACUCCGUGCCAGCAGCCGCGGUACUACGGAGGGUGCGAGCGUUAAUCGGACUUACUGGGCGUAAAGCGCUCGUAGGCGGGAUGUCAAGGCAAGGGUGAAAUCCCCGCGCUCAACGUGGGAACUGCCUUUGAAACUGGCAAACUGGAGUGUGUGAGAGGAUAGUGGAAUUCCAGGUGGAGGAGUGAAAUCAGUAGAUAUCUGGAGGAACAUCAGUGGCGAAGGCGACUAUCUGGCACAUAACUGACGCUGAGGAGCGAAAGCGUGGGUAGCAAACAGGAUUAGAUACCCGUGUAGUC